This 254-nucleotide ribosomal RNA is filed under the name uncultured bacterium. Its description in RNAcentral is "partial 16S ribosomal RNA". It matches the Rfam family "Bacterial small subunit ribosomal RNA", at positions 524 to 776 of the family's 1533-position model. The record is from RNAcentral.
UACGUAGGGUCCGAGCGUUGUCCGGAGUUACUGGGCGUAAAGGGCGCGCAGGCGGCGGUGCUGGCCCGGCGUGAAAGCCCCCGGCUCAACCGGGGAGGGUCGUCGGGGACCGCACCGCUUGAGGGCGGUAGGGGCCGGUGGAAUGCCUGGUGUAGUGGUGAAAUGCGUAGAGAUCAGGCAGAACACCUGGGGCGAAGGCGGCCGGGCUGGGCCGACCCUGACGCUGAGGCGCGAAGGCGUGGGGAGCGAACGGG